This 426-nucleotide ribosomal RNA is filed under the name Megaselia humeralis. Its description in RNAcentral is "partial 16S ribosomal RNA". Lineage: Eukaryota; Metazoa; Arthropoda; Insecta; Diptera; Phoridae. The record is from RNAcentral.
UUUUAGAAAUUAAUUUAAAGUCUAGCCUGCCCACUGAAUAAUUUUAAAUGGCCGCAGUAUCCUAACUGUGCAAAGGUAGCAUAAUCAUUAGUCUUUUAAUUGAAGGCUGGAAUGAAUGGUUGGAUGAAAUAUUAACUGUUUCAUAUAAAUUUAUAAUAGAAUUUUAUUUUUUAGUCAAAAAGCUAAAAUAAAAUUAAAAGACGAGAAGACCCUAUAAAUCUUUAUAUUUAAAUAAUUUUAAUUAUUUUGAUAAAUUAAAUUAUAAUUAUUCCAAAUAUUUUAUUGGGGUGAUAUUAAAAUUUAAUAAACUUUUAAUUUAUAAUGAACAUAAAUUAAUGAAUUAUUGAUCCAUUUAUUAUGAUUAAAAAAUUAAGUUACUUUAGGGAUAACAGCGUAAUUUUUUUAGAGAGUUCAUAUUGAUAAAAA